GCCGGGGUGGCGAAACGGCAGACGCACCGCACUCAAAAUGCGGCGGGGGAAACCCCGUGAGGGUUCGAGUCCCUCUCCCGGCA
Molecule: transfer RNA, 83 nt
Filed under: Chloroflexota bacterium
Lineage: Bacteria; Bacillati; Chloroflexota
Description: tRNA-Leu
Rfam family: tRNA
About the family: Transfer RNA (tRNA) molecules are approximately 80 nucleotides in length. Their secondary structure includes four short double-helical elements and three loops (D, anti-codon, and T loops).
Source: RNAcentral